AGCAGUCGCCGCGGUAAAACGUAUGUCACAAGCGUUAUCCGGAUUUAUUGGGCGUAAAGCGCGUCUAGGUGGUUAUGUAAGUCUGAUGUGAAAAUGCAGGGCUCAACUCUGUAUUGCGUUGGAAACUGUGUAACUAGAGUACUGGAGAGGUAAGCGGAACUACAAGUGUAGAGGUGAAAUUCGUAGAUAUUUGUAGGAAUGCCGAUGGGGAAGCCAGCUUACUGGACAGAUACUGACGCUAAAGCGCGAAAGCGUGGGUAGCAAACAGGAUUAGAUACCCCCGUAGUCCCUGUCUCUUAUACA
This 303-nucleotide ribosomal RNA is filed under the name uncultured bacterium. RNAcentral's name for it is "partial 16S ribosomal RNA". It matches the Rfam family "Bacterial small subunit ribosomal RNA", at positions 507 to 808 of the family's 1533-position model. The record is from RNAcentral.